This 253-nucleotide ribosomal RNA is filed under the name uncultured bacterium. RNAcentral's name for it is "partial 16S ribosomal RNA". It matches the Rfam family "Bacterial small subunit ribosomal RNA", at positions 524 to 776 of the family's 1533-position model. The record is from RNAcentral.
UACGGGGGGGGCAAGCGUUGUUCGGAAUUACUGGGCGUAAAGGGCUCGUAGGCGGCCAACUAAGUCGGACGUGAAAUCCCUCAGCUUAACUGGGGAACUGCGUCCGAUACUGGAUGGCUUGGAUUCGGGAGAGGGAUGCGGAAUUCCAGGUGUAGCGGUGAAAUGCGUAGAUAUCUGGAGGAACACCGGUGGCGAAGGCGGCGUUCUGGACUGCAUCUGACACUGAAAGACGAAAGCCAGGGGAGCAAACGGG